AGCGCAGUUGGGCAAACCCGGAGCGAUCCGGCGACGCAAAACUAUAGGGACUCCCCUGCGGGAGUUCGCCAGUUGCCCGC
Molecule: non-coding RNA, 80 nt
Filed under: Burkholderia sp. WP9
Lineage: Bacteria; Pseudomonadati; Pseudomonadota; Betaproteobacteria; Burkholderiales; Burkholderiaceae
Description: GEMM cis-regulatory element
Rfam family: c-di-GMP-I riboswitch aptamer
About the family: GEMM was predicted in a large-scale screen for bacterial structured RNA regulatory elements. Genes associated with GEMM are involved in a diverse array of functions, including chemotaxis regulation, signal transduction, secretion and chitin.
Source: RNAcentral